CACGUAGGCGGAUAUUUAAGUCAGGGGUGAAAUCCCGGGGCUCAACCCCGGAACUGCCUUUGAUACUGGAUAUCUCGAGUCCGAGAGAGGUGAGUGGAAUUCCGAGUGUAGAGGUGAAAUUCGUAGAUAUUCGGAGGAACACCAGUGGCGAAGGCGGCUCACUGGCUCGGUACUGACGCUGAGGUGCGAAAGCGUGGGGAAGCAAACA
Molecule: ribosomal RNA, 208 nt
Filed under: uncultured bacterium
Lineage: Bacteria
Description: partial 16S ribosomal RNA
Rfam family: Bacterial small subunit ribosomal RNA
Source: RNAcentral